GUUCCUGUAGUGUAGUGGUUAUCACGUUUGCUUCACACGCAAAAGGUCUCUGGUUCAAAACCAGACAGAAAUG
RNAcentral lists this transfer RNA (73 nucleotides) under Poecilia formosa (Amazon molly). It matches the Rfam family "tRNA". From Rfam's summary of the family: Transfer RNA (tRNA) molecules are approximately 80 nucleotides in length. Their secondary structure includes four short double-helical elements and three loops (D, anti-codon, and T loops). Further hydrogen bonds mediate the characteristic L-shaped molecular structure. tRNAs have two regions of fundamental functional importance: the anti-codon, which is responsible for specific mRNA codon recognition, and the 3' end, to which the tRNAs corresponding amino acid is attached (by aminoacyl-tRNA synthetases). tRNAs cope with the degeneracy of the genetic code in two manners: having more than one tRNA (with a specific anti-codon) for a particular amino acid; and 'wobble' base-pairing, i.e. permitting non-standard base-pairing at the 3rd anti-codon position. Lineage: Eukaryota; Metazoa; Chordata; Actinopteri; Cyprinodontiformes; Poeciliidae. The record is from Rfam by way of RNAcentral.